GCAAACUUGGUCAUUUAGAGGAAGUAAAAGUCGUAACAAGGUCUCCGUUGGUGAACCAGCGGAGGGAUCAUUACCGAGUCUCCAGACUCCCAAACCACCGCAAAUCUACCUCUAUAUACUAUCGCUCCGGCGCGGUCGCCCCCGGGUGGGGGUGUGCGCCGUCAGGCAACCAGCCGGAGCGUACCAGAACACUCUCGUCUCUGCGAAAGGCAUUCUGAGUAAAAACACCAAAAAAAGCUUUACAACUUUCAACAAUGGAUCUCUUGGCUCCGGCAUCGAUGAAGAACGCAGC
This 292-nucleotide unclassified non-coding RNA is filed under the name uncultured fungus. RNAcentral's name for it is "partial contains small subunit ribosomal RNA, internal transcribed spacer 1, and 5.8S ribosomal RNA". The stretch from base 1 to 73 matches the Rfam family "Eukaryotic small subunit ribosomal RNA", at positions 1759 to 1831 of the family's 1831-position model. Lineage: Eukaryota; Fungi. The record is from RNAcentral.